This 1403-nucleotide long non-coding RNA is filed under the name Monodelphis domestica (gray short-tailed opossum). RNAcentral describes it as "lncRNA (ENSMODG00000040137.1)". The record is from RNAcentral. Lineage: Eukaryota; Metazoa; Chordata; Mammalia; Didelphimorphia; Didelphidae.
UCUGAUAGUCUCACAAUGAAAGUAACAAAGUAUUUUGAGAAGUCCAGUGUAGCUAUACAAAAUGAAAUGGAACCCUUGCAUAUAAAGUACCAGCAUGUUUUAGACUUGUUACUUGACUAGGUUAGUGAUAGAUUUAAUCAAUUUAAAAGCCUAGAACAGAUCAUGAAAAUAAUUGAGUAACUUGAUGUAGUAGUCUACAGUAGUUUAGAAUAAAUGGUUUCCAAUGGAUGCAAAUUGAUAAUUUGGAGAUGCAAUUUGCAGAAUAUCAAGACAGCAUCUGGGCUCAGGUGUUUGCCCUCUACGUACUUUUGUGAGACCUUAUUCUCAGUCUUAAUCAAAACCAACAAAAGAAACACUUUGACAGAUAAAGUUAGUAGCACUUGCUUGGACUUGAAUUGUACAAAAUACCAACCUUCAAUUGAAGAUUUAGCCAAUGAAAUUCAGCAACAAAAAAGUCACUAAUAGGCAGGUUAAUUAAAGAAUUCCCCUCCCCGCCACUUAUCUUAGUUCACAGCAUCCCACACAAGUUAAAUAAUAUUAAGACUAACAAAAGAAACCAACUGACAGACAAACAAAUUCACUAAGCAGAACCUCAGACAAAACCAUGUGAAAGAUAGAAAAGCACUUCAGAGCUACAAAAGAAGACACCUGACUUUUUCUUGGAUUUGGAGGAAGUCUACAGAGGAAGGUAACAAACAUGGAAAAGUUACAGCUAAGUAAGGAAUCCUAGAAUAAAAAGAUGAAGAUGUGGCCAAGUAGGCACCACACAAGCAAAGCCAGGUCUCUCAGCUUAACCCCAGAAAGAAACAAAGUUCAAAAUCUCUCCUUUUCUCCUGGCCAGCUCAAUUCUCAUAUAGACCACCAACUCAAAAGCCAAGUUUCUUUUUCUUAUCAGCUUCAACUACCCAGAGUCAGAGAAACAGAGACCAAGUCCCAAAAGCCAAGUUUCUCUUCUCAAUGUCAACUUCAACUGCUCAGAGCCAGAAAACCUCCCAAAACCAAGUUAGCCUCACAAAGGUCUUUCAGCCAGCUUCAAACCUCCAGGGAGAGAGAGUGACUUCCAGUCAGAGACAAAGUCACCUCUCCCUGUCAGCUCAAACUGCCAGCAACUGGGAACAUUCCGUUGGAACUCUGGUUCUUGCAUCUUGGUCCACAAGUCCUGCAAAACCUCUCUCUCUUCAUGUCUCUACCACAGUGUAUGAUUUGGGGUUUUAAUUUUAUAAGAUUAUUCUCUUAUAAAAAUGAAUAAUAUGAAAAUAUGUUUUCAGUGAUAAUACUUUUAUAACCCAGUGGAAUUGCUUGUCAACUCCAGGAGUGGUGAGAGGGAAUGGAAACAAUAUGAAUCAUGUAACUUUGGAAAACUUAAAUGUAAAUGUUAUUGAAAUAAAAUAAAGAUAAAAAAU